CCUACGAGGGGCUGCAGUGGGGAAUAUUGGACAAUGGGGGCAACCCUGAUCCAGCCAUGCCGCGUGUGUGAAGAAGGCCCUCGGGUUGUAAAGCACUUUCAGUGAGGAAGAACGCCUGGUGGUUAAUACCCAUCAGGAAAGACAUCACUCACAGAAGAAGCACCGGCUAACUCCGUGCCAGCAGCCGCGGUAAUACGGAGGGUGCGAGCGUUAAUCGGAAUUACUGGGCGUAAAGCGCGCGUAGGUGGCUUGAUAAGCCGGUUGUGAAAGCCCCGGGCUCAACCUGGGAACGGCAUCCGGAACUGUCAAGCUAGAGUGCAGGAGAGGAAGGUAGAAUUCCCGGUGUAGCGGUGAAAUGCGUAGAGAUCGGGAGGAAUACCAGUGGCGAAGGCGGCCUUCUGGACUGACACUGACACUGAGGUGCGAAAGCGUGGGUAGCAAACAGGAUUAGAUACCCGUGUAGUC
This 465-nucleotide ribosomal RNA is filed under the name Vreelandella stevensii. Its description in RNAcentral is "partial 16S ribosomal RNA". It matches the Rfam family "Bacterial small subunit ribosomal RNA", at positions 338 to 795 of the family's 1533-position model. The record is from RNAcentral. Lineage: Bacteria; Pseudomonadati; Pseudomonadota; Gammaproteobacteria; Oceanospirillales; Halomonadaceae.